Molecule: long non-coding RNA, 342 nt
Filed under: Elaeis guineensis (African oil palm)
Lineage: Eukaryota; Viridiplantae; Streptophyta; Magnoliopsida; Arecales; Arecaceae
Description: long non-coding RNA (EGUI_LNC052270)
Source: RNAcentral
CACAGGAUCGUCCAUGCUGAUCCUGAACAAUGGGUUUGGGACUCUCUGGGGUCCUUUCUUGAGGUAGGCUGAUUUACUUUUUUCUUCCUUUCGCUUCUUCACUUAGUUCAUUCUUUAGCUUUCAUAUUGACUUCCUGGUCGCUCUUGCAGAUUGGACACCAACUCAUCACCAAUAUCGAGGCGAUGAAUAAUGCAAAGAAGGAAGCAGUCCAGAUGGAGGAAGGUCACUAGGCUGAGCCUGCCCGUCUUAUGGAGAAGGUCGCCGAAGUCACGAGUCUCCAAGAGGUGCUCCAGAAGGAGGAACAAACUUUGAUGGAUCUGAAGGCUUCUCUGGAGGAGGAA